This 367-nucleotide ribosomal RNA is filed under the name uncultured bacterium. RNAcentral describes it as "bacterial SSU rRNA". It matches the Rfam family "Bacterial small subunit ribosomal RNA", at positions 433 to 793 of the family's 1533-position model. The record is from RNAcentral.
UUUUCAGCAGUGAGGAAGGCGGAGUCGUUAAUAGCGGCCUCGUUUGACGUUAGCUGCAGAAGAAGCACCGGCUAACUCCGUGCCAGCAGCCGCGGUAAUACGGAGGGUGCGAGCGUUAAUCGGAAUUACUGGGCGUAAAGCGCAUGCAGGUGGUUUGUUAAGUCAGAUGUGAAAGCCCGGGGCUCAACCUCGGAAUUGCAUUUGAAACUGGCAGACUAGAGUACUGUAGAGGGGGUAGAAUUUCAGGUGUAGCGGUGAAAUGCGUAGAGAUCUGAAGGAAUACCGGUGGCGAAGGCGGCCCCCUGGACAGAUACUGACACUCAGAUGCGAAAGCGUGGGGAGCAAACAGGAUUAGAUACCCUGGUAG